Molecule: long non-coding RNA, 652 nt
Organism: Cyprinus carpio (common carp)
Lineage: Eukaryota; Metazoa; Chordata; Actinopteri; Cypriniformes; Cyprinidae
Exons: 5
Source: RefSeq, a predicted model, not a curated record
AGGGCAUCAGAAAUUCAUGAAGAUUUCUACACUUCCGUUCAAAAGUCUGGAUACUUUCGUUGAGAUCAAUAAUGGGCUGAUCAUUCAUAAAGGACACGCUGUUCCUCGACACUUGUGACGUCUGGAAUAAGCCACGCCCCUUCGAGAGCGCUUUAAAUCCCUGAGAAACAGCGCUUCACUAAACAGCAACAGCACGCACUUGAGUGAAGGUCCGUCGACGGCAAACAGUGCUGGUUACUUCUCAUAACUACUUUUGGCGUGCGUUAUUUUCUUUGACAUUGACUGCACUUCUGCAUUUAAAGUUCAAGGAAAAUCUAUUUCAGCGCAUCUUUUUUUACUGACAGAGAUAUUUCUCCAUCAACAAUCAUCUUCAGCUGACGUUCAUCUCUAUAAUCAAAAAUGCGCAGCACAAAUGCAUUUGGAUUCAGCCCAGUUACUCUUUACCUGAUCGGGUGAUGCCGGUGGAUCUGGCCAUGCAUGCGCAGAUUAGCCCACCGGUGUAUCUGCUCCUUGGCAUGUCUGCUCUCAGGUUGCUCUUCCCCAACAUAUCUUCACCAGAGCUUCAACGAGCCAGGCUUUCACCCCCUUCACCUACAUUUUCACGAUCUUCAUCCAGCUCUGCCAGCUCCCUGUCCUCAUACUCUCCUAGCAC